AGUCGAACGGAAAGGCCCCUUCGGGGGUACUCGAGUGGCGAACGGGUGAGUAACACGUGGGUGAUCUGCCCUGCACUUUGGGAUAAGCCUGGGAAACUGGGUCUAAUACCGAAUAGGACCGCAUGCUUCAUGGUGUGUGGUGGAAAGCUUUUGCGGUGUGGGAUGGGCCCGCGGCCUAUCAGCUUGUUGGUGGGGUAAUGGCCUACCAAGGCGACGACGGGUAGCCGGCCUGAGAGGGUGUCCGGCCACACUGGGACUGAGAUACGGCCCAGACUCCUACGGGAGGCAGCAGUGGGGAAUAUUGCACAAUGGGCGCAAGCCUGAUGCAGCGACGCCGCGUGGGGGAUGACGGCCUUCGGGUUGUAAACCUCUUUCAGUAUCGGCGAAGCUCCAAGGUUUUCUUUGGGGUGACGGUAGGUACAGAAGAAGCACCGGCCAACUACGUGCCAGCAGCCGCGGUAAUACGUAGGGUGCGAGCGUUGUCCGGAAUUACUGGGCGUAAAGAGCUCGUAGGUGGUUUGUCACGUUGUCCGUGAAAACUCACAGCUUAACUGUGGGCGUGCGGGCGAUACGGGCAGACUAGAGUACUGUAGGGGAGACUGGAAUUCCUGGUGUAGCGGUGGAAUGCGCAGAUAUCAGGAGGAACACCGGUGGCGAAGGCGGGUCUCUGGGCAGUAACUGACGCUGAGGAGCGAAAGCGUGGGGAGCGAACAGGAUUAGAUACCCUGGUAGUCCACGCCGUAAACGGUGGGUACUAGGUGUGGGUUUCCUUCCUUUAGGGAUCCGUGCCGUAGCUAACGCAUUAAGUACCCCGCCUGGGGAGUACGGCCGCAAGGCUAAAACUCAAGGAAAUUGAC
Molecule: ribosomal RNA, 857 nt
Filed under: Mycobacterium minnesotense
Lineage: Bacteria; Bacillati; Actinomycetota; Actinomycetes; Mycobacteriales; Mycobacteriaceae
Description: Mycolicibacter minnesotensis bacterial SSU rRNA
Rfam family: Bacterial small subunit ribosomal RNA
Source: RNAcentral